Molecule: ribosomal RNA, 980 nt
Filed under: metagenome
Description: bacterial LSU rRNA
Rfam family: Bacterial large subunit ribosomal RNA
Source: RNAcentral
CGGUCCUAAGGUAGCGAAAUUCCUUGUCGGGUAAGUUCCGACCUGCACGAAUGGCGUAACGAUCUCCACACUGUCUCGGCCAGAGACUCGGUGAAAUUGAAGUCGCGGUGAAAAUGCCGUGUACCCGCAGAAAGACGGAAAGACCCUGUGCACCUUUACUAUAGCUUGACAUUGGGAUUUGAGCCUGCAUGUGUAGCAUAGGUGGGAGGCUGUGAACUCUGUACGCCAGUAUGGAGGGAGCCAUCGUUGAAAUACCACCCUUGUUUGUUCAGGUCCCUAACUCUUCGCCGUGAUCCGGUAAGAGGACAGUGUCUGGUGGGUAGUUUGACUGGGGCGGUCGCCUCCCAAAAUGUAACGGAGGCAUGCAAAGGUUCCCUCAGGCUGAUUGGAAACCAGCCGUCGAGUGCAAACGCAAAAGGGAGCUUGACUGCAAGAGAGACAUCUCGAGCAGGUACGAAAGUAGGUGUUAGUGAUCCGGUGAUCCCGAAUGGAAGGGUCAUCGCUCAUUGGAUAAAAGGUACGCCGGGGAUAACAGGCUGAUCGCAUCCAAGAGUUCACAUCGACGAUGCGGUUUGGCACCUCGAUGUCGGCUCAUCACAUCCUGGGGCUGAAGCAGGUCCCAAGGGUACGGCUGUUCGCCGUUUAAAGUGGUACGCGAGCUGGGUUUAAAACGUCGUGAGACAGUUUGGUCCCUAUCUUCUGUGGGCGUAGGAGAAUUGAAAGGGCCUGUCCCUAGUACGAGAGGACCGGGAUGGACACACCACUGGUGGACCUGUUGUCGUGCCAACGGCACAGCAGGGUAGCUAUGUGUGGAAGGGAUAACCGCUGAAAGCAUCUAAGCGGGAAGCCUGCCUUAAGAUAAGUUCUCCCUGACGCAAGUCCUGAAGGGCCGAGGUAGACGACCUCGUUGAUAGGCUGGAGGUGGAAGCCCUGUGAGGGGUGGAGCUGACCAGUACUAAUAGCCCGUGCGUCUUGUUUCU